CCUACGGGAGGCUGCAGUGAGGAAUAUUGGUCAAUGGGGGCAACCCUGACCCAGCCAUGCCGCGUGAGUGAAGAAGGUCUUCGGAUUUUCAAGCUCUUUCGAACGUGACGAUGAUGACGGUAGGGUCUAAAGAAGGACCGGCAAACUUCAUGCCGGCAGCCGCGGUAAUACGAAGGGUGCGGGCGUUGUUCGGAAUUACUGGGCGUAAAGGGAGUGUAGGCGGAUAUGUAAGAUAGCGGUGAAAUGCCGGGGCGCAAACCCGGAACUGCCAUUAUGACUAGGUAUCUAGAGUAAUGGAGAGGAUAGCGGAAUACGCAGUGUAGAGGUGAAAUUCGUAGAUAUUGGGUAGAACACCGGUGGCGAAGGCGGCUAUCCGGCCAUUUACUGACGCUGAGGCUCGAAAGCAUGGGGAUCAAACAGGAUUAGAUACCCGUGUAGUC
This 440-nucleotide ribosomal RNA is filed under the name uncultured bacterium. RNAcentral describes it as "partial 16S ribosomal RNA". It matches the Rfam family "Bacterial small subunit ribosomal RNA", at positions 338 to 795 of the family's 1533-position model. The record is from RNAcentral.